GAAAUGCGAUAAGUAAUGUGAAUUGCAGAAUUCAGUGAAUCAUCGAAUCUUUGAACGCACAUUGCGCCCGCCAGUAUUCUGGCGGGCAUGCCUGUUCGAGCGUCAUUUCAACCAUCAAGCCCCCGGCUUGUGUUGGGGACCUGCGGCUGCCCGCAGGCCCUGAAAACCAGUGGCGGGCUCGCUGUCACCCCGAGCGUAGUAGCAAUCACCUCGCUCAGGGCGUGCCGCGGGCGCCGGCCGUUAAAGCUGCCUUCGCGCAACACCCAAGGUUGACCUCGGAUCAGGUAGGGAUACCCGCUGAACUUAA
This 307-nucleotide unclassified non-coding RNA is filed under the name uncultured Chaetomium. RNAcentral describes it as "sequence contains ITS1". The stretch from base 1 to 105 matches the Rfam family "5.8S ribosomal RNA", at positions 50 to 154 of the family's 154-position model. The record is from RNAcentral. Lineage: Eukaryota; Fungi; Ascomycota; Sordariomycetes; Sordariales; Chaetomiaceae.